Molecule: long non-coding RNA, 1652 nt
Filed under: Capra hircus (goat)
Lineage: Eukaryota; Metazoa; Chordata; Mammalia; Artiodactyla; Bovidae
Description: lncRNA (ENSCHIG00010009969.1)
Source: RNAcentral
AUGGACAGGGAGGCCUGACGUGCUGCGAUUCAUGGGGUCGCAAAGAGUUGAACAGGACUGAGCGACUGAACUGAACUGAACUGAACCCCUCAGUUCUCGCCGUACACCCGCCGCACCGCAAACACGCGCCGGCUGAGGGGCGGGGGCCAAGGCCGGAAGGGGCGGGGCCAGGCCUGGAGCGUCGGAGCGCCAACCCAGGCCCCCGCGCUUUCUUUUCCGCUUGGCCGCCGGAGAAGGAAGGGCUCUGAGGCUCCGUCUGCCUUACGGGCGUGGCGGCAACGCCCGCGGACACGUCUCCCCGCUCUUCCAGGGGGGAAGGCCUGGCGAAGUUAGGUCAUUUUAUUAUUUCUCCCGGGAUCCCCAUCCCGGUGGCCUCCGUCCAUUGCUGGGCACAGCCCAGCGGUCGGCGCGGCCUCGGCCUCCAAGUCAUCCCAGGAGGCCAUCUUCCCCUCCCCCACCCGGUUGACGCCGCCUCGAGCUCUCCUCCGUGCCUUCUGCUCAAUCGCAUUUUGUGAGUAACCGUUACCUGUGAGUUUUAGCCGACCCUUGUUACUAAAAGCCGAUUUGGACUGUUCUCAGCUCAGACUAACGAAGGGCCUUUUGCCAUUCUCUGGGUUCCGAGGCGGGUGGUCUCGCGCCCAGCCCAGGGCUCGACCGGAGCCCUUUUGUAUCCCAAGUAAAGCUUUGUGUGCGGCCUUUCGGCUUCGGGGCCCCUUAAAUGUGCGCCCAUUUACCCUUUCUAAGGAAACGUUCUGUAAAGUGGGAAAGGAUUACCUCUUAAAUCUGAAGGCAAUCUUGACUUGGCUGGACUUUUUGGUUGGUUUUAAAACUUUUUAACGCGGCAUGGUUAACCUGCUAACAAUGAGUUCUGGGCUCUGCGCAGUGGCACAAUGUAGCCAUUUAUUUGUUCCUGGAUCUUCCUUUGUAAAUAGACUCUAGGGACGUGACACUGAAUUUGGAGAACAGUUCGUAGUGGUUAGAAGCCCUUUAGGCUAUAAAUGCCGGCUGUAGCCUUAGAUACUUGGAUUUACGUAAAGAUGUGUAUUCUGAACUUGAUACAGAAGAAACUGGUCAAGAGCUGGAAGACUUUUUGUCUGUUUAAAAGCACAGUUAUAAGUGCUCGUCAAUGAGACUUAGUAUAGUCAGGUGUUUUGGUUUAUUCCCUCCCCCCGAUAUGAAAUACACGUUUUUUCAUCUCAAUCCCAACAGUUAACUUUCACCACGGCAAAUGUGAUGGCCUGAAGUAGCUUAUAUUUGGCAUUUCAGUCAUUCUUUAUGAGGCAUAGUGACUGGAACCCAAUUUUCAUUGCUAAGUAUUGGAAUUUUUAAAAACUUUACAAAAUAACCGUUUGAUUAAAAUUUUGAUAAUUUAUGUAAGUCCUUAAUAACUAAGGCUUCCCAGGUGGCACAGUGGUAAAGAAUCCCUGGGUCGGGAAGAUCCCAUGGAGUAAAAUAUGGCAACCCACUCCAGUAUUCUUCUCUGGAAAAUUCUAUGGACAGAGGAGCCAGGCGGCUUACAGUAUGUGGGGUCGUGAACAGUUGAACACGACCAAGCAACUAACACACACAAACAUAAUAAAUACACGAGUCCAGUGAUCCAUUUAAGAACUGUAAUAUUAUUAAUACCAUAACAUCCAUUUGCUUCCCUAUCC